RNAcentral lists this ribosomal RNA (2855 nucleotides) under Heterodera glycines (soybean cyst nematode). RNAcentral's name for it is "bacterial LSU rRNA". It matches the Rfam family "Bacterial large subunit ribosomal RNA". Lineage: Eukaryota; Metazoa; Nematoda; Chromadorea; Rhabditida; Heteroderidae. The record is from RNAcentral.
GCCUUGGCGUGCACAGGCGAUGAAGGACGUAAUACGCUGCGAUAAGCGUCGGGGAGCUGCGAAUAAGCUUUGAUCCGAUGAUUUCCGAAUGGGGAAACCCGACCAUUUAGGUCACCCGCAAGGGAGCUAACCUGGGGAACUGAAACAUCUAAGUACCCAGAGGAAGAGAAAACAAAUAGUGAUUCCAUGAGUAGUGGUGAGCGAAAGUGGAGAAGCCCAAACCAUAGCAGUUUUGGCUGGUAUGGGGUUGUAGGGCUAGCGCAACAAAUUAAGCGUGGGAACUUAAAUUACCUGGAAAGGUAAGCCAUAGAAGGUGAAAGCCCUGUCAAGGUAACCAUGUUUGAUUUAGCUAGUACCCUGAGUAGGUCAGUCCUGGUGAAAGGCUGACUGAAUUUGCCGGCACCAUCCGGUAAGGCUAAAUACUCCUAAGAGACCGAUAGUGGACGAGUACCGUGAGGGAAAGGUGAAAAGUACCCUGAAUAAGGGAGUGAAAUAGUACCUGAAACCAUACGCUUACAAGCAGUCGGAGUUUUUAUUUUAUAGAAAUGACGGCGUGCCUUUUGCAUAAUGAGCCUAUGAGUUAAUCUUUUCUGGCAAGGUAAAUCCUUUAGAAAGGAAAAGCCGAAGCGAAAGCGAGUCUGAAUAGGGCGAUUGAGUCAGAGGAGUUAGACGCGAAAGCCGGUGAUCUACCCAUGACCAGGUUGAAGCGUUGGUAAAACAACGUGGAGGACCGAACCAGUGAAUGUUGUAACGUUCUUGGAUGAGUUGUGGGUAGGAGUGAAAGGCUAAUCAAACCGGCAGAUAGCUCGUACUCUCCGAAAUGUUUUUAGGAACAGCCUUAAGUUUAUACUGAUAGGGGUAGAGCUACCGAUGGGACUAGGGGGGAAACCUACCGUGUCUAGACGAACUCCGAAUACUAUCAGUUUUGCUUAGGAGUGAGGGUUAGGGCGUCAAGGUCCUAAUCCGAGAGGGAAAGAACCCAGACCAUCAGCUAAGGUCCCUAAAUAUAUACUAAGUUGAACUAAGAUGGUUCAGUUGCUUAGACAGUCAGGAUGUUGGCUUGGAAGCAGCCAUUCAUUUGAAGAGUGCGUAACAGCUCACUGAUCGAGCAACAGGGCGUCAAUAAUGAACGGGCAUAAAGUAUAUUACCGAAGCUAUGGCCUUGCUAUUAGGUAGCAAGGGGUAGGAGAGCAUUCUAAUGAAGCUGAAGCUAAGCAAGUGAUUCUUAGUGGAUUUAUUAGAAAAGAAAAUGUAGGCAUAAGUAGCCAGAAUAAUGGUGAGAAACCAUUACACCGAAAGACUAAGGUUUCCACGGCGAUGUUUGUCAUCCGUGGGUUAGUCGGGCCCUAAGUUGAAGCCGAACGGCGUAGGCGAUGGAUAAUCGGUUAAUAUUCCGAUACUAGCUAGCAAUAGAGAAGGGGGGACGAAGGAGUGAAAGACUUGCCUUCUGACGAAUUAGGAGGUUAAAGCCUGUAGAUAGAGGUGUAGCAGGCAAAUCCACUACACCUGUCGAAGGUGAUAGUACUGCAAUCCUUAGGGAGCGCAGAUAAUGGUCCUAAUCAUACUUCCAAGAAAAGCCUCUAAUCGUUAGGUGCUAGCUAUCCGUACCGCAAACCAACACAGGUAGUUGAGGAGAAUAUCCUAAGGUGUUCGAGUGAGUCGUGGCCAAGGAACUCGGCAAAAUAGCCCUGUAACUUCGGGAGAAAGGGUGCCUCAUUCAUCUUCUUUAGGGAGGGUGAGUAGGCCGCAGUGAAGAGGCCCAGGCGACUGUUUACCAAAAACACAGGACUUUGCAAAAUCGAAAGAUGAAGUAUAAGGUCUGAUACCUGCCCGGUGCUGGAAGGUUAAUAGGAGGGGUUAAGCCGCAAGGUUGAAGCUCUGAAUAGAAGCCCCAGUAAACGGCGGCCGUAACCUUGACGGUCCUAAGGUAGCGAAAUUCCUUGUCGGGUAAAUUCCGACCUGCACGAAUGGUGUAACGAUCUGGGCGCUGUCUCAGCCACGAGCUCGGCGAAAUUGGAGUGGCGGUGAAGAUACCGUCUACCCGCAAUGGGACGAAAAGACCCCAUGAACCUUUACUAUAGCUUAACAUUGAUAAUAGGUAGAUAUUGUGUAGGAUAGGUGGGAGGCUACGCAAGUAGCCGCCGGUGAAAUACCACCCUUUAUCUAUGUGUUAUCUAAUCUUUGGGAGCAAGGAGACAGUGUUUGGUGGGUAGUUUGACUGGGACGGUCGCCUCCUAAAAAGUAACGGAGGCUUUCAAAGGUACCCUCAAUACGGAUGGUAAUCGUAUGUGGAGUGCAAUAGCAUAAGGGUGCUUGACUGUGAGACAAACAAGUCGAGCAGGGUCGAAAGACGGAUAUAGUGAUCCGGUGGUUCCGCAUGGAAGGGCCAUCGCUCAAAGGAUAAAAGGUACUCUGGGGAUAACAGGCUGAUCUCCCCCAAGAGCUCAUAUCGACGGGGAGGUUUGGCACCUCGAUGUCGGCUCGUCACAACCUGGAGCCGAAGCUGGUUCCAAGGGUUGGGCUGUUCGCCCAUUAAAGUGGCACGCGAGCUGGGUUCAGAACGUCGUGAGACAGUUCGGUUUCUAUCUAUUGCGGGCGUUAGAAGUUUGAGAGGAGCUAACCUUAGUACGAGAGGACCAGGUUGGGUAAACCGCUGGUGUAUCAGUUGUGACGUCAGUUGCACCGCUGAGUAGCUAUGUUUAUAAGAGAUAAGCGCUGAAAGCAUCUAAGCACGAAACUUUCCUCAAGAUGAGACUUCUUUAAGGAUGGUUAAAGAUGAUGACCUUGAUAGGUUACAAGUGUAAAGUCAGAAAUGGCAAAGCUGAGUAAUACUAAUUAUCCGAAUGUUUCUUAUU